Nerophis ophidion (straightnose pipefish) is the source of this 503-nucleotide long non-coding RNA. RefSeq lists it as uncharacterized. The transcript is spliced from 2 exons. NCBI's taxonomy places the organism in Eukaryota, Metazoa, Chordata, Actinopteri, Syngnathiformes, Syngnathidae. The record is from RefSeq and is a predicted model, not a curated record.
CGCCUGAAAAAAGCAAUUACUGCCCCUGCGGUUUCAAGGCUACCCCGCGCCGAACGAUGAAAGGAGAUAAGCAGAGGCCGGUUUCAAGGCCGUCCGCGCCGCGAACCUCGUUGGCCCCAGAGCAAAAGGAGAGUCAAGAGUGACUAAAUCAAAGGGAAUACGGUAAAAGGCGGGGGAAAUUACACGCCGUAUGACAUGUAGAUCUUGCAACAACAAUAAUAACAAGUUUGUGUGCGGAGAAUGAAGAAGAGCGCGUGAAAGGCAAGGAGGAUGCUGCUGCUGCAAGAGGGGGUCCCCGCUUUCCCCGAACACGCAGGGGGAAGUUUGUAUUGGACAAGGACGGCGCUUUAAACUGCUGAUGGAGGAGCCAAAAGAGAGACAAAGCUAGCUUUGUCAGCUUCCUUCCCUUCCUCACCGGCUCCUGACGAGUCCACUUGUUCUCCCUCCUUCCCACCCUCUAGCCGUCUUUCAGUUUUUCCAAUAAAAAAACGUUCUGCCUUUAA